Dama dama (fallow deer) is the source of this 6161-nucleotide long non-coding RNA. RefSeq lists it as uncharacterized. The record is from RefSeq and is a predicted model, not a curated record. The transcript has 2 exons. NCBI's taxonomy places the organism in Eukaryota, Metazoa, Chordata, Mammalia, Artiodactyla, Cervidae.
CCAGGAUCUGUAUGAGAGCCACAGAACUAGCCCUCAGAUCUACCCUCACGGCACUGACUUCCUUAGGCAGAGGUGUGGCCUGCUUAUGCCCACAUUACCCCCCAGCCAAGAGAGAGACCAAAGAGCCUGCGGAAUGCCUCUGCUCCCUGCCUCUACCUUCAGGUCCAUAAAAAGAAGAAUAGAGACAGCCCAGAGUCCCCAGGUCUGUGAAGGGUCAGGAGGGGUCAAGAAAGGAGUAGGGAGGCUGAAGGAUACAGGGCAUUUGAAUCCAAAUCACUGCUCUGGGCCAGGGAAUAGAGCCAGCACACCGAGGUAGAAGGGACUCUGGAAGGGGGACCUUCCAGUCCCCCGACCCCAAAGCUCAGGGUGGAGGAGGGUAGAACGAGGGAGCAGAGUGUCUAUAAUUAUUUUUAUCUUUUAUUUUUGGAAUCUAGCAGUACCUGGCAGCAGGGAGGGGAUGAUACAGUGGGGGAAAGCAUCUGACAAGGCCAGUUAGAGCAGAGGUCGGGAAGGAUGGAGACUUCCUGCUUUGGAAAGCUGGAAAGCAGGCAGGGACUGGUUGCCACUCCAGGUCACUAGCUGGGCCUAUUCAUUCCUUUCACAAUCCUGACCCAUCCUCCUCUGGACUCACUGUGCCUCAGUUUCUUCCCCUCGAUGGAAUGAGAAAAUAGCAGCACCCGCCACAGCCAAGAGAUGAAUUCUGAGCACUUACCACGGGCACUUUAUGGACAUAAAAUACCUCUCGCUGUGGGACAGAUAACCAGGGCACCAGAGUAGCGGUGAAGAGAUGUGAGGCUUAGAGGAGUCACAGGCUUCAGAGUACAAGUUCCCCUCUGCCUCCCAGCUGGACAGUGCCUGACACCAAGGAGCUGAGAACCUUCUGAUCCACACCUUACCCAUACCUCACCUCCAGACCUCCUGGCUCCAGGCAGGAGCCCAGAGGAUGUCAGGAGUGGAGGGGGAAAGAACCUUCAACAAAACGCACUCUGAGUAGCGCCAGCGGUCAUGGGUCUGAUGCAAACAAUACGGAACACAAGUAAGACCUGAGCUGGAAAGCCGACCCGGAAGGCUUGUUCUUCCCGAGAGCAUGACUUUCCUGCCUGGCCCAGCUGGUGGAAGGGGCAAAGCAGCAGUACUGACCCCCAGCCUCUUCUCUCUGGCCCUGUUCUUCAUCACUCCUUCUGCUCCAAUCUUGGAGAACAAGAUGCACCUGACCACCAACACCAUUCACAUUUCCUUGGUGGAAAGAAAGGAACAGAGAAGUGAAGAACAGAAGAUGCCUCCUCCAAGGUCAAAUGCCCAGGUCUCUUGAUCUUGGCACAGGGUGGGGAUUGGGCAAUAGGCAUCAGGUGACUUCCCUCUAGAAAUUCUAGCGAGCUGGGGCAGUAGACUUGGGGACACUUAGAAUACGCCCCUUUAAUGCCACCAAAUAAAGACCUUUGGGGGAAGGUCGUUCUCUUAUGAACAUAAAUCUAUGAGUUGGAAGUCUCAUUCCCCUGGUCUUCCUCACCCCCAAAGAGGCAUGGGGUAAAGAGGCUUGGGGACAUAGCCCAGCAAACUAGUGGGGACUGGUACCCCCUCUCACCUUAUGACGUGUGUGGACCUGGCCAGUGCCCCUCUGAUCAUAAUUAGUGUAAUUAUUAUUUACUUUGUGUAUUUGUUACACCGUGUGUGUGAUUGCCUUUGUUUGUUAAGGGUGUCUGCGGAGUACGGGGCUGACAGGGGCACUGGAAUGCCGGGAAAAGACCUCUUCACUGAGAUCAAGGCUUCCUGAAGGGAACCAUUGCAAAAAGGCCAUCAGGCAGUUUUCAAGUUAUGUGACAGAGGGCAAAGAUGGCCAUAGGGUGCUCUGAGUUUUGGGAUGGUCACAUGACACAAUCCAGCACUUGAACCUGAAAAAAGAAAAAUAAAAGCAGUCAAAGAGUUUAGAAUUCAGCAUUAAGCUCUUCUCCCUAAUCAAGCGCCAUGUUUACACCUUGGACACCAGGAAGCAGAAGAUCUGAGGGAGAAUGAAACUUUGUGCUUAAGGAGUAAGAAGAUGGGGGUCUCUGGGAUGAGGGCUGGGGCUUGCAGCCAAGGAAGGUUGGGCUGAGGAUGGGAAAGAAAGGGAACCCAGACCAAGUCUUCACUGGAGGCUUGAUCCUGAGCAGUCCCAAAGGUUACAAAACGCUCUCCCGGCCUCCACAGAGCAGAAGAUCCAAGCUCUCUUGAGAUAAUUCAAAUAAUAUCUACCCUAUUUUCCUACAGUUCCCUGACCCGAGGUUUCCUCAACAAAAUCCACAAGCCAACCCAACUUUGAACUUCCACUGUUCCAAGAAUGGUUACGCAUCUUAAUACUUUCAUUCUACCAUAAAAAAUGCCUCCCAUGUCCAGGGAGCACACUUCCUAGGGCAUACAAAUUGGUGCGGGAGGCGGGGGGGGGGCGGGGAGUAGCAAAAGAGUCUUGCCUGUAACUGCAAGUAGGAAAGCUCCUGUGACAUCAGUCUGACCCAGAAUGGGGGACAACACAGGUUCAAUGGGCCACUCCCUGCCCUGUCCGUUCUGUUAGCAGACUGGCCCCCCCUCAGACCAAGUUGAGGGAAGACUAAAGAGCUACACAUUGUGUCCUCCCCAUGAGGAGCUGCUCUACGCACACCUACCCCUACAUUCUGCCCCAGGGAAAAACAGAUCCCCCAGCCCAUCCAAGGUCCGCUGCUUCCUACCUUGAGAGAGCAGCAGGAAGUUACAAGAUGAGGCUCACACUCAAACACCUGCAACCUAAUGGACGAGUAGCUGCCCUACUCUUUGUCUCUGCCCACAUCAGGGGUCCCAAGCUAAAAGCCAGCGGGCAGGGGCAUUUACAGCCUCUGGUGUAUGGUGGGGCAGAAGCUGGGAAGUCAAGGCAAAGCCACAAAGCCAGCUUUCCCGUCAGUGAACUUGGUGUAAGGGAACAAUCGGGAUGACUCCUACCUAUUUUCACUCUCAGAAUCCCCCAAAGCAUUUGCAUAUGUGGUGUACACACACACACACUCUCUCAAAUUAGUACACUCAGCCCCCUACCCUCUCACUGUAACUUACUCAGGAAAAAGAAAGUACUUCUACUAUGAAUCACCAAGUAAAAUUAAGAGUUAAUAAUUACUGAAUGAUUACAAUAUAUGAUAAGCAAACUGUGCGCCUUACAUAAAUAUGACAGUAUCAGUUCUCACAGCAAUCUUCACAAUAAGGUUGCUAUUGGCACAGAAUUAAAAACAGUGGUUAAGAAUGAUUAAGUAAUUUGCCCAGGGUCUUGCAGCCAGCUGAGCUAGUGUGGCAGAACAAGGAAUUAUACUGAAGUAGUUGCUAUACAGUAUUUCAUUCUAUUUAUAGUGAUAUAAGAGAUAGAAAAAUUAAAGGCAGGGAUAACUGAGAAAGGAAAAGAAAUAAAGAGAAAGCUGGGAGUACUUUAGGCUCAGUGGAAGUCCAAAAUUGCAAAACUCGGUAUUUUUUCAGUCCCUUUGGAAGGAUAUACAGGAAGACUGUGUUGACGUGCUGCAAGAGAGGGGGACAUUAGAUUUUGGUGGAGUCCAAUAAUCAGAGAUGAGUGACACUGUCAGGGGGUCCUCAUGAAAGAGAACAGGGAAAAACAUUUAUUAUAGAAUAUAGUCUUAUAUUCUUAUUUAUAUUAGGUCUUUCCUUCCACCUGAUCUGUUUCUCAUGUCAGACAUGACAACAGGACUCAACACCAAGAAGUGCUGUUAUUGCAUCUUCCUUCCUUAUAGCCCUCACCCCCACAGAAGCUUCUAGCCUUGUAUCUUCAGAAGUAAAUUCCCAGGAUUUGGGGUGGGGGGAAGGGCGGUUUAUAGUGAUGGUGGAGAAAAACAGAAUGAUCCUAGAGAACCAUAAAAAGGUGCAGAUUUACAGCGGAAGAAGCUGGCUCUCUCCGCAUCUUUUAUAGACUCCCUCAUUAAGAGCUUCCAGGUAUGCAGAGAAUGUCACAGCUUCAAAACAGGGAAAAGAAGCCUGGAGUCAGCUAACUACAUCUGGAUCCUGGAUUAGCUACACUAAAGAGACUGGAGGAUAGGAAGGAAGGGUACUUGGAUCCCAGAUAAAGAACUGCAAGGCUGGGUGCUUAUUCUGCCUCUCAAAGGACUUACUAUUUUAGGACUGAAUUAGUAAAAAACAUAGGAAUCCUGAACUAGUCAUGCUCAGAAAGUAUAUAUGGAAUGAUUACAGUGAGACAGGAAGAGGAGGAUUUGGUGAUCAGGCUUGGAGGUGAGAGACUUCUGACCAACAUAAGAACAGCUGCUGGAAUAGGAUGAAAAGGGCUAAUAAAAAACCCACACAAGCCUGAUGAGCAGUUCUGGGCUUCCCUGGUAGCCCAGCUGGUAAAGAAUCCACCUGCAAUGCGGGAAGCCUGAGUUUUAUCCCUGGGUUGGGAAGAUUCCCUGGAAAAGGGGACGGCUACCCACUCCAGUAUUUUGGCCUGGAAAAUUCCAUGGACUGUAUAGUCCAUGAAGUUGCAAAGAGUCAGACAUGACUAAGCGACUUUCACACACAGCUGUGUCAAAAAUAUGGGGAAAGUGAGUUAAGUAUGGAGAAGAAUGAUUAGGCUUUAGGAAGAGAAUCCUGGGGACAGGGGUUGGGGGUGCAAAGUCUGAAUACCUUACUGAAACAUUACAGAGGAUAAGGAGACAAGGUGAAGAAAACUUCUGAAGGACUCAGCGCUCCACUCCUCUUUAUAAGCGUCUGCUCUGUUCUUUUACCUCUUAUUUUGGGUAGAAAACCCUUACUGAAUCUAUAAUCUCUGUAAAGAUACAAAACUGAACUAAUUCUCUCUCUGGUUCCGCUAGCUUUAGGAUCAGGGUCUAACGAAAAGGGAAGCAGAUAGCAGAGCCCAAGAGAGAAGAGAAGGAAGAAGUUUAAUCAACCUUCCCUUUGGCGCAUUUCUCCAAAGUCUUAGAAUGGGGCAAAAUUGACAACAAAUGGGCAGUCUUUGCAUCUGCUCCCCAAGACACUGUUUUUCCUAAAGCAUCUAAACUUAGGUCCCUGUCCUCCAGGAACCAAAGAGAGUUUGUGGAAAGAGGUUCUUGUUAGGAAGGUGAUCAAACAUUAUUCUUUUGUUAAUUACAAAACCAGACAGAGGUGUUAGUAGAAACGGGAACAAUGAAUUAAUUACACCACAGCAACAUGAGAUCUGGUCAUGAAACCAAAGUCUUCAGGUAAGGUGCCAGGUUCUUAAGUUUUACUACCAGAACCCAAACAAAGCCCCAUCUUAUAUAGAUGUAUAGUACUAAAGAUUAAGAGGAGAAACCCUAUACCAACAUGUCCAAAAAGAUUAAGUAGCAGGUCUCAGAUCUACAUGAAAUUCAAACCCAAAUAAGCAGCCCUGCUUAGGUAUAGCCAAAUCCUAAGUAGGAGGCUUGGCAAGGAAAAUGGAUGUUAGUAAUAUCCAAGAAAAACUGCCACCAAAACUGCAAAAGCAUCUUUCUGCAACAGAAGACAAACUAAACUAGCAUAGGGCUUGAUCAGAAAAUAGAAGGCUCUAGUCUACAGCUUAUUGUCCCAACAAUCUAGGCAAUAAUUUUUAACACCUCUGACAUCCUGUCAUACUCUGAAUCCCCACAUACUUUCUUCCAGUUCUGAGGGGUAGCCAGCCAAACUGCUUUCCUGAACUGCAUAACCAACAGGAUUCCACAUGUUGGCUUCAAAUGCAACCAGUUAAAUCACUCUUGAAAUUAGGGCCCUCCCAGACUCCAGAAUAGGCACUCUGCACUUCAUUCCAUAACAGACUACCAAUCCCUAGCCCUAGUGUUUAUAUACUUUGCACCUCCUAAAACCUACAGUAUUGUAUUUUAUUCUAAUGGGUCAUUUCAACCUGUUGAAGCAAAGAUUCAGGGUGAAACUUGGCCUCUUCGUGGAGAAUAAAGAAGUAAAAGGAUGCCUGUGAGUAUGAGAGAAGGAAAUAAAUAGGCUUAAAGGCACAUACUCAAUCCUUUUCCUCAUUCUCUUUUCUAAAGGAUAAAGGCAUUAUUGCUAAUUCUCUAUAUUUGGUGAAUAUCUCCUUAUCUGGUCUAAUCUGGCUCUACGAACUCAAAGGAGCAUCUGAGAAAACAAUGUUCUUUUUUCUAUUUUUUUUUAUUAACAAGCAAAAUAAUAAUUAAAAAACAACAACAACAAAAACCUUAAAGUUGGAACUGCAAUAA